AUUCCUCAGCCCAUUUAUUUAAUGAAGCUGGAUGUGGAGGUUGCUGGCUGUUUUAAUUAAUGGUCCGCUCCUCUUAAAUGCAUUAGUGUGGAUGUUAUCAAAUGUUCCCCAGUGUAAUAAUUUAUUUGCGCUGUUGGUUACUUUGGUAGAAUUAAGCAUUCAUGCUUCUAAUAGUCCUUUUAAUAGGACACUUAUUUUUUGC
RNAcentral lists this unclassified non-coding RNA (202 nucleotides) under uncultured Hyphoderma. Its description in RNAcentral is "sequence contains ITS2". Lineage: Eukaryota; Fungi; Basidiomycota; Agaricomycetes; Polyporales; Hyphodermataceae. The record is from RNAcentral.